Ipomoea nil (Japanese morning glory) is the source of this 224-nucleotide long non-coding RNA. RefSeq lists it as uncharacterized. The transcript has 2 exons. Lineage: Eukaryota; Viridiplantae; Streptophyta; Magnoliopsida; Solanales; Convolvulaceae. The record is from RefSeq and is a predicted model, not a curated record.
GUUCAUGGGUUUAUCAAUUUCGCCAGGUAAAUUCGCCCAAAGAAAACCCUAAGGAAGCAAAGCAAAUUUCUUCCCUACAUUGCAAUGGAUUCAAGACGACGGAAAAGGGGCGAAUGCACUCCGAAAUAUGGGCAUGUGUUUCAGCCUACCUACACUUGAGGACCCCUUCAAUGACAAAAGUGGUAAGCCAGAUCCUGUGAAGAACAAAAAGCGAGCAGAUUCCA